CACGUAGGGGGCGAGCGUUGUCCGGAUUUAUUGGGCGUAAAGAGCUCGUAGGCGGCUCAGUAAGUCGGGUGUGAAAACUCCAGGCUCAACCUGGAGCGGCCACUCGAUACUGCCAUGGCUAGAGUCCGGUAGGGGACCACGGAAUUCCUGGUGUAGCGGUGAAAUGCGCAGAUAUCAGGAGGAACACCGGUGGCGAAGGCGGUGGUCUGGGCCGGAACUGACGCUGAGGAGCGAAAGCGUGGGGAGCGAACAGG
RNAcentral lists this ribosomal RNA (254 nucleotides) under uncultured bacterium. RNAcentral's name for it is "partial 16S ribosomal RNA". It matches the Rfam family "Bacterial small subunit ribosomal RNA", at positions 524 to 776 of the family's 1533-position model. The record is from RNAcentral.